Molecule: long non-coding RNA, 845 nt
Organism: Bacillus rossius redtenbacheri
Lineage: Eukaryota; Metazoa; Arthropoda; Insecta; Phasmatodea; Bacillidae
Exons: 3
Source: RefSeq, a predicted model, not a curated record
UUACGUAGCAUGCGCUUCAGGUUCCCGCGCGACGGUUGAGAAUUGGCGGAGGGGUGGGGGUAACUGGCGCGCGACCGGCGACCAACCCAGUGCUGGCGCUCGGAGUGACUCGUUGUCUCCCGCCGGCCGUCCUCGAAGCAACACCUCGCUGCUCCGCGCUCCAGAAAUGGCGCGAAAACUCCGUCGUCUCGUCGUCGUGCUGGUGGUAAGGUGUUGGGAGGGUGUCUAGCAUCAGGCAGGCUCAGGACACUGGUGUGACCACGGCGUUGUGGUGUGCCGAUCCACGCCGGGGCAGACGGCAACGUCCUCUCCACGCCAUCGCGGAGGGUACCUGCUACCGAGAGGGCAGCAGGACGUGCCGUGCCGGGGUCACCCGCGCUCGUGGGGACGAGCGGCUGACGGCGGCGGGUCCUGACAGGCGGUCCGCAGGGCAGCCCUAGAGCCGUCCCAGACGGGGACCAGUGGUGUACAGCAGGGGGUGGACGGAGGUCCCAUGCUGACGCAGCUGCGUCAGCGGACGUGGCGUCGACCGGACGUCCCGUUGGAGCGGGUCCAGCUCCGUCGUCGCACCGCUAAUGACUUCAUACAACAACUGGGCAGCAUAAGAGCAGACUUUCUCUCGCAACACCAGUGUUCCUUGCUACUGUGGAUAACAACUCAGAAGACAAUCACAUCAUCAUGUGCUGCUGAACAACAGUGACGUCACUCGCGUGACAGUGUGAUCCUCAAGAUGACAGUGCUUCGAAUUAUGUGUUACACAUCAAAAAUAAUAUUUGGCGUUCAUAAAAUUAAUUUGUGCCCAUAAUUUAUAAAAUCAAAUUCCAAAAUAAAUCAGUUCCAAUGCA